This is a ribosomal RNA of 1031 nucleotides. It matches the Rfam family "Bacterial small subunit ribosomal RNA", at positions 1 to 1012 of the family's 1533-position model.
UUUUAUGGAGAGUUUGAUCCUGGCUCAGGAUGAACGCUGGCGGCGUGCCUAAUACAUGCAAGUCGAGCGAACGGACGAGAAGCUUGCUUCUCUGAUGUUAGCGGCGGACGGGUGAGUAACACGUGGAUAACCUACCUAUAAGACUGGGAUAACUUCGGGAAACCGUAGCUAAUACCGGAUAAUAUUUUGAACCGCAUGGUUCAAAAGUGAAAGACGGUCUUGCUGUCACUUAUAGAUGGAUCCGCGCUGCAUUAGCUAGUUGGUAAGGUAACGGCUUACCAAGGCAACGAUGCAUAGCCGACCUGAGAGGGUGAUCGGCCACACUGGAACUGAGACACGGUCCAGACUCCUACGGGAGGCAGCAGUAGGGAAUCUUCCGCAAUGGGCGAAAGCCUGACGGAGCAACGCCGCGUGAGUGAUGAAGGUCUUCGGAUCGUAAAACUCUGUUAUUAGGGAAGAACAUAUGUGUAAGUAACUGUGCACAUCUUGACGGUACCUAAUCAGAAAGCCACGGCUAACUACGUGCCAGCAGCCGCGGUAAUACGUAGGUGGCAAGCGUUAUCCGGAAUUAUUGGGCGUAAAGCGCGCGUAGGCGGUUUUUUAAGUCUGAUGUGAAAGCCCACGGCUCAACCGUGGAGGGUCAUUGGAAACUGGAAAACUUGAGUGCAGAAGAGGAAAGUGGAAUUCCAUGUGUAGCGGUGAAAUGCGCAGAGAUAUGGAGGAACACCAGUGGCGAAGGCGACUUUCUGGUCUGUAACUGACGCUGAUGUGCGAAAGCGUGGGGAUCAAACAGGAUUAGAUACCCUGGUAGUCCACGCCGUAAACGAUGAGUGCUAAGUGUUAGGGGGUUUCCGCCCCUUAGUGCUGCAGCUAACGCAUUAAGCACUCCGCCUGGGGAGUACGACCGCAAGGUUGAAACUCAAAGGAAUUGACGGGGACCCGCACAAGCGGUGGAGCAUGUGGUUUAAUUCGAAGCAACGCGAAGAACCUUACCAAAUCUUGACAUCCUUUGACAACUCUAGAGAUAGAGC